GACGAACGCUGGCGGCGCGCCUAACACAUGCAAGUCGAACGAGAGAUGAGGAGCUUGCUCUUCAAAUCGAGUGGCGAACGGGUGAGUAACGCGUGAGGAACCUGCCUCAAAGAGGGGGACAACAGUUGGAAACGACUGCUAAUACCGCAUAAGCCCACAGCUCGGCAUCGAGCAGAGGGAAAAGGAGUGAUCCGCUUUGAGAUGGCCUCGCGUCCGAUUAGCUAGUUGGUGAGGUAAUGGCCCACCAAGGCGACGAUCGGUAGCCGGACUGAGAGGUUGAACGGCCACAUUGGGACUGAGACACGGCCCAGACUCCUACGGGAGGCAGCAGUGGGGAAUAUUGCACAAUGGGGGAAACCCUGAUGCAGCGACGCCGCGUGGAGGAAGAAGGUCUUCGGAUUGUAAACUCCUGUUGUUGAGGAAGAUAAUGACGGUACUCAACAAGGAAGUGACGGCUAACUACGUGCCAGCAGCCGCGGUAAAACGUGGGUCACAAGCGUUGUCCGGAAUUACUGGGUGUAAAGGGAGCGCAGGCGGGAGAACAAGUUGGAAGUGAAAUCCAUGGGCUCAACCCAUGAACUGCUUUCAAAACUGUUUUUCUUGAGUAGUGCAGAGGUAGGCGGAAUUCCCGGUGUAGCGGUGGAAUGCGUAGAUAUCGGGAGGAACACCAGUGGCGAAGGCGGCCUACUGGGGCACCAACUGACGCUGAGGCUCGAAAGUGUGGGUAGCAAACAGGAUUAGAUACCCUGGUAGUCCACACCGUAAACGAUGAUUACUAGGUGUUGGAGGAUUGACCCCUUCAGUGCCGCAGUUAACACAAUAAGUAAUCCACCUGGGGAGUACGACCGCAAGGUUGAAACUCAAAGGAAUUGACGGGGGCCCGCACAAGCAGUGGAGUAUGUGGUUUAAUUCGACGCAACGCGAAGAACCUUACCAAGUCUUGACAUCCCUUGACGAACAUAGAAAUAUGUUUUCUCUUCGGAGCAAGGAGACAGGUGGUGCAUGGUUGUCGUCAGCUCGUGUCGUGAGAUGUUGGGUUAAGUCCCGCAACGAGCGCAACCCUUAUGGUCAGUUACUACGCAAGAGGACUCUGGCCAGACUGCCGUUGACAAAACGGAGGAAGGUGGGGAUGACGUCAAAUCAUCAUGCCCUUUAUGACUUGGGCUACACACGUACUACAAUGGCGUUAAACAAAGAGAAGCAAGACCGCGAGGUGGAGCAAAACUCAGAAACAACGUCCCAGUUCGGACUGCAGGCUGCAACUCGCCUGCACGAAGUCGGAAUUGCUAGUAAUCGUGGAUCAGCAUGCCACGGUGAAUACGUUCCCGGGCCUUGUACACACCGCCCGUCACACCAUGAGAGCCGGGGGGACCCGAAGUCGGUAGUCUAACCGCAAGGAGGACGCCGCCGAAGGUAAAACUGGUGAUUGGGGUG
RNAcentral lists this ribosomal RNA (1434 nucleotides) under uncultured organism. RNAcentral's name for it is "SSU rRNA". It matches the Rfam family "Bacterial small subunit ribosomal RNA". The record is from RNAcentral.